Molecule: ribosomal RNA, 839 nt
Filed under: uncultured archaeon
Lineage: Archaea
Description: bacterial SSU rRNA
Rfam family: Archaeal small subunit ribosomal RNA
Source: RNAcentral
AGGUUACUGCUAUCGGUGUUCGCCUAAGCCAUGCGAGUCAUAUGUUCUUCGUGAACAUGGCGUACUGCUCAGUAACACGUGGAUAACCUGCCCUUGGGACCGGGAUAACCCCGGGAAACUGGGGAUAAUACCGGAUAACGCAUAUCUGCUGGAAUGCUUUAUGCGUAAAAUGGAUUUGUCUGCCCAAGGAUGGGUCUGCGGCCUAUCAGGUAGUAGUGGGUGUAAUGUACCUACUAGCCUACGACGGGUACGGGUUGUGAGAGCAAGAGCCCGGAGAUGGAUUCUGAGACAUGAAUCCAGGCCCUACGGGGCGCAGCAGGCGCGAAAACUUUACAAUGCGGGAAACCGUGAUAAGGGGACACCGAGUGCCAGCAUCAUAUGUUGGCUGUCCAGAUGUGUAAAAUACAUCUGUUAGCAAGGGCCGGGCAAGACCGGUGCCAGCCGCCGCGGUAACACCGGCGGCCCGAGUGGUGAUCGUGAUUAUUGGGUCUAAAGGGUCCGUAGCCGGUUUGGUCAGUCCUCCGGGAAAUCUGACGGCUCAACCGUUAGGCUUUCGGUGGAUACUGCCAGACUUGGAACCGGGAGAGGUAAGAGGUACUACAGGGGUAGGAGUGAAAUCUUGUAAUCCCUGUGAGACCACCUGUGGCGAAGGCGUCUUACCAGAACGGGUUCGACGGUGAGGGACGAAAGCUGGGGGCACGAACCGGAUUAGAUACCCGGGUAGUCCCAGCCGUAAACGAUGCUCGCUAGGUGUCAGGCAUGGCGCGACCGUGUCUGGUGCCGCAGGGAAGCCGUGAAGCGAGCCACCUGGGAAGUACGGCCGCAAGGCUGAAACUUAA